GUCCAGGGAUGGGAAUCGAAACCACAGUGUUCCGUUUACCGGGCAGAUGCCAUGUCCACUAAGCUACCCUGGA
This 73-nucleotide transfer RNA is filed under the name Cordylochernes scorpioides. RNAcentral describes it as "tRNA-Thr". Lineage: Eukaryota; Metazoa; Arthropoda; Arachnida; Pseudoscorpiones; Chernetidae. The record is from RNAcentral.